RNAcentral lists this ribosomal RNA (484 nucleotides) under uncultured bacterium. Its description in RNAcentral is "partial 16S ribosomal RNA". It matches the Rfam family "Bacterial small subunit ribosomal RNA", at positions 30 to 507 of the family's 1533-position model. The record is from RNAcentral.
AUUGAACGCUGGCGGCAGGCCUAACACAUGCAAGUCGAGCGGAUGAAGGGAGCUUGCUCCUGGAUUCAGCGGCGGACGGGUGAGUAAUGCCUAGGAAUCUGCCUGGUAGGGGGGGAUAACGUCCGGAAACGGGCGCUAAUACCGCAUACGUCCUGAGGGAGAAAGUGGGGGAUCUUCGGACCUCACGCUAUCAGAUAAGCCUAGGUCGGAUUAGCUAGUUGGUGGGGUAAAGGCCUACCAAGGCGACGAUCCGUAACUGGUCUGAGAGGAUGAUCAGUCACACUGGAACUGAGACACGGUCCAGACUCCUACGGGAGGCAGCAGUGGGGAAUAUUGGACAAUGGGCGAAAGCCUGAUCCAGCCAUGCCGCGUGUGUGAAGAAGGUCUUCGGAUUGUAAAGCACUUUAAGUUGGGAGGAAGGGCAGUAAGUUAAUACCUUGCUGUUUUGACGUUACCAACAGAAUAAGCACCGGCUAACUUCGUG